GAUCAUGGCUCAGGACGAACGCUGGCGGCGUGCUUAACACAUGCAAGUCGAACGGGAUGAUUUAGAAGCUUGCUUUUAGAGAAUCUAGUGGCAAACGGGUGAGUAACACGUAGACAACCUGCCGACAGGAUGGGGACAACAUUCCGAAAGGAAUGCUAAUACCGAAUGAAGUCAGAGGAGGGCAUCCUCUUCUGAUGAAAGAUGGCCUCUGAAUAUGCUAUC
This 222-nucleotide ribosomal RNA is filed under the name uncultured bacterium. RNAcentral describes it as "partial 16S ribosomal RNA". It matches the Rfam family "Bacterial small subunit ribosomal RNA", at positions 15 to 216 of the family's 1533-position model. The record is from RNAcentral.